GAUGAACGCUGGCGGCGUGCUUAACACAUGCAAGUCGAACGAAGCAGGAGGGUGCUUGCACCUUCCUGACUGAGUGGCGGACGGGUGAGUAACACGUGGAUAAUCUGCCCUGCACAGGGGGACAACAGCUAGAAAUGGCUGCUAAUACCGCAUAAGCCUACAGCCUCGCAUGAGGGAGUAGGAAAAGAAAUUCGGUGCAGGAUGAGUCCGCGUCUGAUUAGCUAGUUGGAGGGGUAAGAGCCCACCAAGGCAACGAUCAGUAGCCGGCCUGAGAGGGCGACCGGCCACAUUGGGACUGAGACACGGCCCAA
Molecule: ribosomal RNA, 311 nt
Filed under: uncultured bacterium
Lineage: Bacteria
Description: bacterial SSU rRNA
Rfam family: Bacterial small subunit ribosomal RNA
Source: RNAcentral